Molecule: transfer RNA, 94 nt
Filed under: Caenorhabditis elegans
Lineage: Eukaryota; Metazoa; Nematoda; Chromadorea; Rhabditida; Rhabditidae
Description: Unclassified non-coding RNA F22H10.9
Source: RNAcentral
AAAAGAAAUCCGAUCAGGAUGAGAUUCGAACUCACGCGGGGAAACCCCAAUGGAUUAGCAGUCCAUCGCCUUAACCACUCGGCCACCUGAUCAC